RNAcentral lists this ribosomal RNA (426 nucleotides) under uncultured prokaryote. RNAcentral describes it as "bacterial SSU rRNA". It matches the Rfam family "Bacterial small subunit ribosomal RNA", at positions 355 to 796 of the family's 1533-position model. The record is from RNAcentral.
UGGGGAAUUUUCCGCAAUGGGGGGAACCCUGACGGAGCAACGCCGCGUGCGGGAGGACGGCCUGUGGGUUGUAAACCGCUUUUCUCUAGGAAGAAGGUCUGACGGUACUAGAGGAAUCAGCAUCGGCUAACUCCGUGCCAGCAGCCGCGGUAAGACGGAGGAUGCAAGCGUUAUCCGGAAUUAUUGGGCGUAAAGCGUCCGUAGGCGGUUUAUCAAGUCAGUUGUUGAAGACUGCAGCUCAACUGUGGGCGAGCAACUGAAACUGAUUAACUAGAGUGCGGUAGGGGUAGAGGGAAUUCCCAGUGUAGCGGUGAAAUGCGUAGAUAUUGGGAAGAACACCAGUGGCGAAGGCGGCUUUCUGGCUCAAACCUGACGCUGAGGCGCGAAAGCGUGGGGAGCAAACAGGAUUAGAUACCCGCGUAGUCC